AGGACGAACGCUGGCGGCGUGCCUAACACAUGCAAGUCGAACGAGGUCCAUCCGGUAGCAAUACCGGUGAAGAUCAAGUGGCGAACGGGUGAGUAGCACGUGAGCAACCUGCCCCGAAGACCGGGACAACACCGGGAAACCGGUGCUAAUACCGGAUGUCCCCACCGAGUCGCAUGGCUUGGUGAGGAAAUGGAUUCCGCUUCGGGAGGGGCUCGCGGCCUAUCAGCUUGUUGGUGAGGUAAUGGCUCACCAAGGCUUCGACGGGUAGCUGGUCUGAGAGGACGAUCAGCCACACUGGGACUGAGACACGGCCCAGACUCCUACGGGAGGCAGCAGUGGGGAAUCUUGCACAAUGGGCGAAAGCCUGAUGCAGCAACGCCGCGUGAGGGACGAAGGCUUUCUGAGUUGUAAACCUCUUUCAGCAGGGACGAUUGUGACGGUACCUGCAGAAGAAGCCCCGGCAACUACGUGCCAGCAGCCGCGGUAAU
RNAcentral lists this ribosomal RNA (488 nucleotides) under uncultured bacterium. RNAcentral describes it as "SSU rRNA". It matches the Rfam family "Bacterial small subunit ribosomal RNA", at positions 26 to 524 of the family's 1533-position model. The record is from RNAcentral.